This 1269-nucleotide non-coding RNA is filed under the name Pan troglodytes (chimpanzee). Lineage: Eukaryota; Metazoa; Chordata; Mammalia; Primates; Hominidae. The record is from RNAcentral.
AUCGUGGGGAGAAGCAACGCAAGACCCCGGAAGCAUGCCAACGUGUAAAACCCCAAGUCAAAGGUCAAACAGUGCACUCGAUCUCUCAAGUCACCUGCUUGGCCCUCUACUAAAAAGGGAGAUGCCAUGUGCUGGCCCAGCACUCCAACAGGGGCCUGACCUCUAGGAACGGGACACUGGAGGAAGCCUAGACAUUUGAACAAAUCAAGUCAUCCAGAUCCACGGUCAGCUCCUGCCCCGACUUGGCCUUCCUCCUGCUUUGCUGGCCCACGGACCUCGGGAACCUGCCCUGGCUGUGGGUGACCUGCAGCCUAUCUCCCAGGACUAUGGAAGCCCCAUGCAGGAACAUGGUUCUGAGACUUUGGGGGUUAUACCCUAAGCUUAGAGAACUGGAAAAGCCCCUGAAGUCCCGAGACCACAACCCUCCACCUUCUAAAGAUAAGACAAGUCACUGAAGGUCUCAGAACUGUGGCCCAUUCACCCCUUCCCUCAGGACAAGAGUGUGGCCAAGCAUCAAUCUCACCCCCAGAGACCAGACGGUGUCCAGGUCUUGGGCAGACGAAACCUGCUCCUUGGGGAUGGUCUUCCUGGCUGUGCUUCCAAAGGGCUGGCCUGCAAUCAGCUGGUUUUCACUUGAUCCUUUCGGGGUUUGCAUUAUAUCUGACUGAAGGAAUGAACUGGGAGAGAACAGCAGAGCCGCAGCGGAAUGUGGAAAGGCCCACGUCGAGACUGUUCCCAUUCUGAUUUAAAAGCCUGAUGAAGGAACAGCUGAACUCACAGAAACAGCAGGUGAAAAGUCCAAGUCAAGGAAUAGAAUUAGUCAGUUCGUGGUGGAGUUGCAUUGAUGAUUCCAGAGCGGUUCCUGCUCCUCCUCUUUAAGCCAGUGUGUUUUACCAAAGAUUUUCGGGACAAAGAAAAAGCCAGGCAGUAGGUGCCAAAUACAGUGACUCAUCAGAUGACCCUGCUGUUUAUCUCCAACAUUUUCAUGAACAGCUUUCAAGGAAUAAAGGAAGGAAAUGUUCUGUGUCCAUAAAGUAGGAUUGGAAACAGUUGACUUGUAUGAACAUGGCCAACACAAAAUAGUCCAGGGGGAUGUGGAAUAUUUGAGGAGAACAACAUUAGACUGAGAAAUUAUGACAGUCAGGAAAAGAAAAAUUGUACCAAAUAUCAAAGAACAUGAGUUUUUUUCAACAGAAAACUAAAGCGAUAGAUGGAACCUGUGAGUUCACUUCUAAAGGAGCAUUCAAAAAAAAAUGAAACCUAGGAAAA